This 36-nucleotide non-coding RNA is filed under the name Alexandrium minutum. The record is from RNAcentral. Lineage: Eukaryota; Dinophyceae; Gonyaulacales; Pyrocystaceae.
UUUUUUUUUUUUUUUUUUUUUUUUUUUUUUUUUUCU